Molecule: ribosomal RNA, 253 nt
Filed under: uncultured bacterium
Lineage: Bacteria
Description: partial 16S ribosomal RNA
Rfam family: Bacterial small subunit ribosomal RNA
Source: RNAcentral
UACGUAGGUGGCAAGCGUUGUCCGGAAUUAUUGGGCGUAAAGCGCGCGCAGGCGGUCCUUUAAGUCUGAUGUGAAAGCCCACGGCUCAACCGUGGAGUGUCAUUGGAAACUGGGGGACUUGAGUACAGAAGAGAAGAGUGGAAUUCCACGUGUAGCGGUGAAAUGCGUAGAGAUGUGGAGGAACACCAGUGGCGAAGGCGACUCUUUGGUCUGUAACUGACGCUGAGGCGCGAAAGCGUGGGGAGCAAACAGG